ACGCGAGGAACCUUACCAGGUCUUGACAUCCUCUGACACUCCUAGAGAUAGGACGUUCCCCUUCGGGGGACAGAGUGACAGGUGGUGCAUGGUUGUCGUCAGCUCGUGUCGUGAGAUGUUGGGUUAAGUCCCGCAACGAGCGCAACCCUUGUUCUUAGUUGCCAUCAUUUAGUUGGGCACUCUAAGGAGACUGCCGGUGACAAACCGGAGGAAGGUGGGGAUGACGUCAAAUCAUCAUGCCCCUUAUGACCUGGGCUACACACGUGCUACAAUGGACGGUACAAACGGUUGCCAACCCGCGAGGGGGAGCUAAUCCGAUAAAACCGUUCUCAGUUCGGAUUGUAGGCUGCAACUCGCCUACAUGAAGCCGGAAUCGCUAGUAAUCGCGGAUCAGCAUGCCGCGGUGAAUACGUUCCCGGGCCUUGCACUCACCGCCCGU
Molecule: ribosomal RNA, 439 nt
Filed under: uncultured bacterium
Lineage: Bacteria
Description: bacterial SSU rRNA
Rfam family: Bacterial small subunit ribosomal RNA
Source: RNAcentral